UGAUCAUGGCUCAGAACGAACGCUGGCGGCAUGCCUAACACAUGCAAGUCGAACGAGACCUUCGGGUCUAGUGGCGCACGGGUGCGUAACGCGUGGAAAUCUGCCCUUUGCUUCGGAAUAACAGUUAGAAAUGACUGCUAAUACCGGAUGAUGUCUUCGGACCAAAGAUUUAUCGGCAAAGGAUGAGCCCGCGUAGGAUUAGGUAGUUGGUGGGGUAAAGGCCUACCAAGCCGACGAUCCUUAGCUGGUCUGAGAGGAUGAUCAGCCACACUGGGACUAAGACACGGCCCAGACUCCUACGGGAGGCAGCAGUGGGGAAUAUUGGACAAUGGGCGAAAGCCUGAUCCAGCAAUGCCGCGUGAGUGAUGAAGGCCUUCGGGUCGUAAAGCUCUUUUACCAGGGAUGAUAAUGACAGUACCUGGAGAAUAAGCUCCGGCUAACUCCGUGCCAGCAGCCGCGGUAAUACGGAGGGAGCUAGCGUUGUUCGGAAUUACUGGGCGUAAAGAGUACGUAGGCGGCUAUUCAAGUCAGAGGUGAAAGCCCGGGGCUCAACCCCGGAACUGCCUUUGAAACUAGGUAGCUAGAAUCUUGGAGAGGUCAGUGGAAUUCCGAGUGUAGAGGUGAAAUUCGUAGAUAUUCGGAAGAACACCAGUGGCGAAGGCGACUGACUGGACGAGUAUUGACGCUGAGGUACGAAAGCGUGGGGAGCAAACAGGAUUAGAUACCCUGGUAGUCCACGCCGUAAACGAUGAUAACUAGUUGUUCGGUCACUUGGUGACUGAGUGACGCAGCUAACGCAUUAAGUUAUCCGCCUGG
Molecule: ribosomal RNA, 816 nt
Filed under: uncultured bacterium
Lineage: Bacteria
Description: bacterial SSU rRNA
Rfam family: Bacterial small subunit ribosomal RNA
Source: RNAcentral